UACGGGGGGGGUAAGCGUUGUUCGGAAUUACUGGGCGUAAAGGGUCUGUAGGUGGCUUGCUAAGUCAGACGUGAAAUCCCUCAGCUUAACUGGGGAACUGCGUCUGAGACUGGCGAGCUUGAGUGCAGGAGAGGGACGCGGAAUUCCAGGUGUAGCGGUGAAAUGCGUAGAUAUCUGGAGGAACACCGGUGGCGAAGGCGGCGUUCUGGACUGCAACUGACACUGAGAGACGAAAGCCAGGGGAGCAAACGGG
RNAcentral lists this ribosomal RNA (253 nucleotides) under uncultured bacterium. RNAcentral's name for it is "partial 16S ribosomal RNA". It matches the Rfam family "Bacterial small subunit ribosomal RNA", at positions 524 to 776 of the family's 1533-position model. The record is from RNAcentral.